CCUACGGGGGGCAGCAGUGAGGAAUAUUGGUCAAUGGACGCAAGUCUGAACCAGCCAUGCCGCCUGCAGGAAGACGGCUCUAUGAGUUGUAAACUGCUUUUGUACGAGGGUAAACGCAGAUACGCGUAUCUGUCUGAAAGUAUCGUACGAAUAAGGAUCGGCUAACUCCGUGCCAGCAGCCGCGGUAAUACGGAGGAUUCAAGCGUUAUCCGGAUUUAUUGGGUUUAAAGGGUGCGUAGGCGGUCGGAUAAGUUAGAGGUGAAAUCCCGAGGCUCAACUUCGGAAUUGCCUCUGAUACUGUUCGGCGAGAGAGUAGUUGCGGUAGGCGGAAGGUAUGGUGUAGCGGUGAAAUGCUUAGAGAUCAUACAGAACACCGAUUGCGAAGGCAGCUUACCAAGCUACUUCUGACGUUGAGGCACGAAAGCGUGGGGAGCAAACAGGAUUAGAUACCCGGGUAGUC
Molecule: ribosomal RNA, 460 nt
Filed under: uncultured bacterium
Lineage: Bacteria
Description: partial 16S ribosomal RNA
Rfam family: Bacterial small subunit ribosomal RNA
Source: RNAcentral